UACGAGGGGGGCAAGCGUUGUUCGGAAUUAUUGGGCGUAAAGGGCGCGUAGGCGGCGCCACAAGUCACUUGUGAAAACUCUGGGCUCAACUCAGAGCCUGCAAGCGAAACUGUGGUGCUGGAGUAUGGGAGAGGUAAGCGGAAUUCCUGGUGUAGCGGUGAAAUGCGUAGAUAUCAGGAGGAAUACCUGUGGUGUAGACAGCUUACUGGACCAUUUCUGACGCUGAGACACGAAAGCGUGGGUAGCAAACAGG
Molecule: ribosomal RNA, 253 nt
Filed under: uncultured bacterium
Lineage: Bacteria
Description: partial 16S ribosomal RNA
Rfam family: Bacterial small subunit ribosomal RNA
Source: RNAcentral